Molecule: ribosomal RNA, 301 nt
Filed under: uncultured bacterium
Lineage: Bacteria
Description: partial 16S ribosomal RNA
Rfam family: Bacterial small subunit ribosomal RNA
Source: RNAcentral
CAGUAGCCACGGUAAUACGUAGGGUGCAAGCGUUGUCCGGAAUUAUUGGGCGUAAAGAGCUCGUAGGCGGUUUGUCGCGUCUGCUGUGAAAUCUGGGGGCUCAACCCCCAGCCUGCAGUGGGUACGGGCAGACUAGAGUGCGGUAGGGGAGAUUGGAAUUCCUGGUGUAGCGGUGGAAUGCGCAGAUAUCAGGAGGAACACCGAUGGCGAAGGCAGAUCUCUGGGCCGUAACUGACGCUGAGGGGCGAAAGCAUGGGGAGCGAACAGGAUUAGAUACCCGCGUAGUCCCUGUCUCUUAUAC